Molecule: ribosomal RNA, 77 nt
Filed under: Pragia fontium DSM 5563 = ATCC 49100
Lineage: Bacteria; Pseudomonadati; Pseudomonadota; Gammaproteobacteria; Enterobacterales; Budviciaceae
Also listed under: 1 other name
Description: 16S rRNA. Bacterial SSU
Rfam family: Bacterial small subunit ribosomal RNA
Source: RNAcentral
UUUAAUUGAAGAGUUUGAUCAUGGCUCAGAUUGAACGCUGGCGGCAGGCCUAACACAUGCAAGUCGAGCGGCAGCGG